AUUGAACGCUGGCGGCAUGCCUUACACAUGCAAGUCGAACGGCAGCACGGGCUUCGGCCUCGCGGCGCGUUGCCGACGGGUGGGUAAUUCAUCGGAACAUACCCAGCAGUUGGGGCUAGGCCGACUACGGCCGGAUUAAUACCGCAUACGACCUUAUGGUGAACGGGGGGGACCGAAAGGCCUCGCGCGAUUUGAGCUGCCGAUGUCGGAUUAGCUAGUUGGUGGGGUAAAGGCUUACCAAGGCGACGAUCCGUAGCUGGUCUGAGAGGACGACCAGCCACACUGGAACUGAGACACGGUCCAGACUCCUACGGGAGGCAGCAGUGGGGAAUUUUGGACAAAGGGGGCAACCCUGAUCCAGCCAUGCCGCGUGCGGGAAGAAGGCCUUCGGGUUGUAAACCGCUUUUGUUCGGGAAGAAAACCUCUGGGCUAAUACCCCGGGGGGAUGACGGUACCGGAAGAAUAAGCACCGGCUAACUACGUG
RNAcentral lists this ribosomal RNA (484 nucleotides) under uncultured bacterium. RNAcentral describes it as "partial 16S ribosomal RNA". It matches the Rfam family "Bacterial small subunit ribosomal RNA", at positions 30 to 507 of the family's 1533-position model. The record is from RNAcentral.